This 492-nucleotide ribosomal RNA is filed under the name uncultured bacterium. RNAcentral's name for it is "partial 16S ribosomal RNA". It matches the Rfam family "Bacterial small subunit ribosomal RNA", at positions 29 to 507 of the family's 1533-position model. The record is from RNAcentral.
AGUGAACGCUGGCGGUAGGCCUAACACAUGCAAGUCGAACGGCAGCACAGUAAGAGCUUGCUCUUACGGGUGGCGAGUGGCGGACGGGUGCGGAAUACAUCGGAAUCUACUUUUUCGUGGGGGAUAACGUCGGGAAACUUACGCUAAUACCGCAUACGACCUACGGGUGAAAGCAGGGGAUCUUCGGACCUUGCGCGAUUGAAUGAGCCGAUGUCGGAUUAGCUAGUUGGCGGGGUAAAGGCCCACCAAGGCGACGAUCCGUAGCUGGUCUGAGAGGAUGAUCAGCCACACUGGAACUGAGACACGGUCCAGACUCCUACGGGAGGCAGCAGUGGGGAAUAUUGGACAAAGGGCGCAAGCCUGAUCCAGCCAUACCGCGUGGGUGAAGAAGGCCUUCGGGUUGUAAAGCCCUUUUGUUGGGAAAGAAAAGCAGCAGGUUAAUACCCCGCUGUUCUGACGGUACCCAAAGAAUAAGCACCGGCUAACUUCGUG